Molecule: transfer RNA, 99 nt
Filed under: Acidipila sp.
Lineage: Bacteria; Pseudomonadati; Acidobacteriota; Terriglobia; Terriglobales; Acidobacteriaceae
Description: tRNA-Sec
Rfam family: Selenocysteine transfer RNA
Source: RNAcentral
GGAGGCGCAAGGGGUCCGGUGAUCCUCGCAGUCCUCAAAACUGCCGAUUCGGUCCUUCGCGGGCUGAAUGGUGGGUUCGACUCCCACACGCUUCCGCCA